GAUGAACGCUGGCGGCGUGCUUAACACAUGCAAGUCGAACGAUGAACCUCACUUGUGGGGGGAUUAGUGGCGAACGGGUGAGUAACACGUGAGUAACCUGCCCUUGACUCUGGGAUAAGCCUGGGAAACUGGGUCUAAUACCGGAUAUGACUGAUCAUCGCAUGGUGGUUGGUGGAAAGCUUUUGCGGUUUUGGAUGGACUCGCGGCCUAUCAGCUUGUUGGUGGGGUAAUGGCCUACCAAGGCGACGACGGGUAGCCGGCCUGAGAGGGUGACCGGCCACACUGGGACUGAGACACGGCCCAGACUCCUACGGGAGGCAGCAGUGGGGAAUAUUGCACAAUGGGCGGAAGCCUGAUGCAGCGACGCCGCGUGAGGGAUGACGGCCUUCGGGUUGUAAACCUCUUUCAGUAGGGAAGAAGCGUAAGUGACGGUACCUGCAGAAGAAGCGCCGGCUAACUACGUGCCAGCAGCCGCGGUAAUACGUAGGGCGCAAGCGUUAUCCGGAAUUAUUGGGCGUAAAGAGCUCGUAGGCGGUUUGUCGCGUCUGCCGUGAAAGUCCGGGGCUCAACUCCGGAUCUGCGGUGGGUACGGGCAGACUAGAGUGGUGUAGGGGAGACUGGAAUUCCUGGUGUAGCGGUGAAAUGCGCAGAUAUCAGGAGGAACACCGAUGGCGAAGGCAGGUCUCUGGGCAUUAACUGACGCUGAGGAGCGAAAGCAUGGGGAGCGAACAGGAUUAGAUACCCUGGUAGUCCAUGCCGUAAACGUUGGGCACUAGGUGUGGGGGACAUUCCACGUUUUCCGCGCCGUAGCUAACGCAUUAAAUGCCCCGCCUGGGGAGUACGGCCGCAAGGCUAAAACUCAAAGGAAUUGACGGGGGCCCGCACAAGCGGCGGAGCAUGCGGAUUAAUUCGAUGCAACGCGAAGAACCUUACCAAGGCUUGACAUGGACCGGAAACGCCUGGAAACAGGUGCCCCACUUGUGGUCGGUUUACAGGUGGUGCAUGGUUGUCGUCAGCUCGUGUCGUGAGAUGUUGGGUUAAGUCCCGCAACGAGCGCAACCCUCGUUCUAUGUUGCCAGCACGUGAUGGUGGGGACUCAUAGGAGACUGCCGGGGUCAACUCGGAGGAAGGUGGGGACGACGUCAAAUCAUCAUGCCCCUUGUGUCUUGGGCUUCACGCAUGCUACAAUGGCCGGUACAAAGGGUUGCGAUACUGUGAGGUGGAGCUAAUCCCAAAAAGCCGGUCUCAGUUCGGAUUGGGGUCUGCAACUCGACCCCAUGAAGUCGGAGUCGCUAGUAAUCGCAGAUCAGCAACGCUGCGGUGAAUACGUUCCCGGGCCU
Molecule: ribosomal RNA, 1340 nt
Filed under: uncultured bacterium
Lineage: Bacteria
Description: bacterial SSU rRNA
Rfam family: Bacterial small subunit ribosomal RNA
Source: RNAcentral